Molecule: long non-coding RNA, 985 nt
Filed under: Zostera marina
Lineage: Eukaryota; Viridiplantae; Streptophyta; Magnoliopsida; Alismatales; Zosteraceae
Description: long non-coding RNA (ZMAR_LNC001905)
Source: RNAcentral
UCCAAAUGUAAUAUUUUAUUAUUAUACUCCUCUUACCGAGCCCACCGAGCUUAACGAGCCGAGCUUGAAAUGUCCAAGCUCGAGCUCAGCUUGGCCUCAGCUUUAUUUGACACCCUAGGUAUAUGUUUAAUAUCAUCACGUGUUAGUACUAAUAUCAUCACGUGUUAUUUUGUGUUAUAAAACAAUUUAAAUGUUUUUGAUCAAGUCAAGUUCAAAGAUCGAUUCGUUUGCACCACUACUUCCAAUCUUGCAUGUGUCUAUGAUCUUCGGCUGAUCGUCCGACUUCAGUACAUCUUCCCUUACGAACUGUCCCCGUACUCGUUGACGUUGAUCGGCCAAUUUCUUCAUUUUGGGAACAUUGAUCAACAACUAGUUAAAAAACCAAAUAUAAAAAAUAGUUCAUGCUAUUAUGUUGAGUGAACUAAUUUUUAUAGAUUUUAUCUUGACACAAUGAACUUACCUUUUUAAGAAAACAUCUUUUCUUCCUCUUUAACCUGAACUUAUAUAAGGCUGCUUGUCGUCGCAAAAUCUGGUUCUGAUGAUGAUCUCUGAUAGUUCCUUCAUUGUUUGAUGCAUCAGAAGUACAAGUGUUCAAAUGGUGGUGGCAAAUUUCAUGAAUCAUAGGUUCCAUUCUGAAUUCACUUGGUUGAUUUCUUCAAAGAUGCUGUAAUACAUUCCAAAUCCAAACAUCAAAAAAAAAAAAAAAAUCAAACUUUAAGAAAUAUUUACCUUUGAGAAAAAACUUGUGCUCUUUGAAGAACUAAGUUAUCUUACCAUAAAUAGAUAUAGGACGCGAGAAUCUUUAAAGUAUCCUGAUAUCUUCCUUUUUUGCAAGCAAAAGAAAUCUCAAGAAGAAUAAAUCUUUACAGAUAAAUCCAAAUGAACCCCAUUGAAAAUAGAAUUUGUCUCUGUUAGAAAACCAUUGAAAUUCUCUGUUCUAAGUUCUUAAACAUAUUAUGAUAUAUGACUGAAAUAUUCUUCCCCC